AUGCCCUUUAUUUCUUUCUCUUGUCUGAUUAUUCUGGCUAGGAUUUCCAGUACUAUAUUGAAUAGCUGUGAUAAAAGUGGGUAUCCUUGUGCUUGUUCCAGUUCUCAGGGGGAAUGCUUUCAACCUUUCCCUGUUCAGUAUAAUGUUGACUGAGGGUUUGUCAUAGAUGGUUAUUACCUUGAGGCAAGUCCCUUCUCUGCCGAUUUUGCUUAGGGUUUUAAUCAUAAAGGGAUGCUGGAUUUUGUCAAAUGCUUUUUCAGCAUCUAUUGAGAUGAUCAUAUGAUUUUUGUUUUUAAUUCUGUUUAUGUGAUGUAUCACAUUUAUUGACUUGCAUAUGUUAAACCAUCCCUGCAUCCCUAGAAUAAAACCCACUUUAUCAUGAUGUGUUAUCUUUUCGAUAUGCUGUUGGUUUUGCUUAGCCAGUAUUUUGUUGAGGAUUUUUGCAUCUAUGUUCAUUAGGGAUAUUGGUCUGCAUUUUUGUUGUUGUUGUUAUGUCUUUUCCUGGUUUGGGUAUUAGCGUGAUACUGGCUUCAUAGAGUUUUGGUUUUUUUUUGUUUUUUGUUUUUUUUGGACAAAGUUUCACUCUUGUUGCCCAAGCUGGAGUGCAGUGGUGCAAUCUUGGCUCACUGCAAUCUCUGCCUCCCAGGUUCAAGCAAUUCUUCUGCCUCAGCCUCAUGAGUAGCUGGGAUUACAGGCGCCUGCCACUACACCCAGCUAAUUUUUGUAUUUUUAGUAGAGAUGGGGUUUCACCAUGUUGGCCAAGCUGGUCUUGAACUCCUGACCUCAAGUGAUCUGCCUGCCUUGGCCUCCCAAAGUGCUGGGAUUACAGGCAUCAGCCACUGUACCCGGCCUUCAUAGAAUUAUUUAGGGAGGAUUUCCACUUUCUCUUUUAGAAUAAUUUCAGUAUGAUCAGUACCAAUUCUUCUUCAAAUGCCUGAUAGAAUUCAUCUGUGAAUCCAUCUAGACCUGGACUUUUUUUUUUUUUUUGAGACGGAGUCUCGCUCUGUCACCCAGGCUGGAGUGCAGUGGCCGGAUCUCAGCUCACUGCAAGCUCCGCCUCCCAGGUUUACGCCAUUCUCCUGCCUCAGCCUCCCGAGUAGCUGGGACUACAGGCGCCCGCCACCUCGCCCGGCUAGUUUUUUUUUUGUAUUUUUUUAGUAGAGACAGGGUUUCACCGUAUUAGCCAGGAUAGUCUCGAUCUCCUGACCUCGUGAUCCGCCCGUCUCGGCCUCCCAAAGUGCUGGGAUUACAGGCUUGAGCCACCGCGCCCAGCCUAGACCUGGACUUUUUUUUUUUGCUGUUGGCAUUUUUUUUCUCAUUACUGUUUCAAUCUCACUACUUGUUAUUGGUCUGUUCAGAAUUUCUAUUUCUUCCUGAUUUAAUCUAGG
Molecule: long non-coding RNA, 1388 nt
Filed under: Papio anubis (olive baboon)
Lineage: Eukaryota; Metazoa; Chordata; Mammalia; Primates; Cercopithecidae
Description: lncRNA (ENSPANG00000044168.1)
Source: RNAcentral